This 485-nucleotide ribosomal RNA is filed under the name uncultured bacterium. RNAcentral's name for it is "bacterial SSU rRNA". It matches the Rfam family "Bacterial small subunit ribosomal RNA", at positions 28 to 524 of the family's 1533-position model. The record is from RNAcentral.
GACGAACGCUGGCGGCGUGCUUAACACAUGCAAGUCGUGGGCACCAGCAAUGGUGACCGGCGAACGGGUGCGUAACACGUGAGCGACCUACCGAUUUGUGGGGGAUAGCCGGCCCAACGGCCGGGUAAUACCGCAUACGCCGAGCUUGCCGCAUGGCUUGCUCGGGGAAACCUCCGGGGCAAAUCGAGGGGCUCGCGGCCUAUCAGCUAGUUGGCGAGGUAAUGGCUCACCAAGGCGACGACGGGUAGCUGGUCUGAGAGGAUGGCCAGCCACAUUGGGACUGAGAAACGGCCCAGACUCCUACGGGAGGCAGCAGUGGGGAAUCUUGCGCAAUGGCCGAAAGGCUGACGCAGCGACGCCGCGUGUGGGAUGAAGCUCUUCGGGGUGUAAACCACUGUUGCCCGGGACGAACGGCGAGAUUUAUCUCGCGUGACGGUACCGGGUGAGGAAGCACCGGCUAACUCCGUGCCAGCCGCCGCCGUAAC